ACCAAUACAAAGUUGUGCAUUUUCCCAAGUUCUAUCCUAUCAACUCCCCUCAAUUCAUUACAGGGUGCAAAAUAUGAUUUUCUGGCUCCACCUGUUGUCCCUACUAGCAUUCCUCAGAGAUGUCAAGUCUCAGGUCCAGUUGGUGGAGUCCGGAGGGGAUGUGAGAAGACCUGGAGGGUCCCUCCGUCUCUCCUGCCAAGCUUCUGGAUUCACCUUCAGCAGCUACUGGAUGGAGUGGGUGAGACAGGCUCCUGGGAAAGGCCUGGAAUGGGUGGCAGAAAUAGGUACAUCCUCCUCUCCGAUUCGCUACUCGGACAAAGUCAAGGGACGCUUCACCAUCUCCAGGGAUGAUUCCCGUAGCCAGCUGUAUCUGCAAAUGAACAGCCUCAAAUCAGAGGACACAGCUGUCUAUUACUGCGCUAGACACAGUGAGAGGAAGUGA
Non-coding RNA from Pantherophis guttatus, 442 nucleotides. The record is from the annotation of a RefSeq genome assembly. NCBI's taxonomy places the organism in Eukaryota, Metazoa, Chordata, Lepidosauria, Squamata, Colubridae.